Long non-coding RNA from Cinclus cinclus, 222 nucleotides. RefSeq lists it as uncharacterized. The transcript is spliced from 3 exons. The record is from RefSeq and is a predicted model, not a curated record. NCBI's taxonomy places the organism in Eukaryota, Metazoa, Chordata, Aves, Passeriformes, Cinclidae.
GGAGAAUCUCAUUUGUGAGGAAAAAGGGAGAUGGACCUGAUCAGCCUCGGGAAGAGAAGCAUCACUCACUGUCUACACUGAGAAUGAUUUUGGGCCAGGAAGUGAAGACCAAAGCAGAAGUCAAGCCAAAAGAGGGGCAGCCAUGUGGCUGAGGCAGCUGAAGAACAAUCUCAUAUGCCAGGAGAUGCUGACUGGCCAAAAGACCAAGCAGCCUUUUUCCAC